Molecule: long non-coding RNA, 7687 nt
Filed under: Homo sapiens (human)
Lineage: Eukaryota; Metazoa; Chordata; Mammalia; Primates; Hominidae
Description: HSALNT0007541
Source: RNAcentral
CCGGCCGAAUGUUUUCAAUUUGAUAGAAACAAGUGACUCAAGGAAAGUGUUGACAGUUAUUAAAUUGAGUUUCCAUAUAAUAAGGGCAUAUAAUAGGUGACAAAUGACAGGUCCUGAGAGCUGCAUUUUGAAUAUUUGGAGGAUUUGGGGCACAUAUCUGGUAUUGGAACUUCUCUGAAUUGGAUUAGAACGCCGCGUGGCUCACGCCUGUAAUCCCAGCACUUUGGGAGGCUGAGGUGGGUGGAUCACGAGGUCAGGAGAUCGAGACCAUCCUGGCUAACACAGUGAAACCCCGUCUUUACUAAAAAUACACACUCAAAAAAAAUUAGCCGGGCGUGGUUGCAGGUGCCUGUAGUCCCAGCUACUAGGGAGGCUGAGGCAGGAGAAUGGCGUGAACCUCGGCGGCGGAGCUUGCAGUGAGCAGAGAUCGCGCCACUGCACUCCAGCCUGGGCGACAGAGCGAGACUCCGUCUCCAAAAAAAAGAAAGGGGAAAAAAAAAAAAAAGAAAGCUGUCAAGACCAUCCAGACCUGAAAAUACCUGAUAGGGGGAUGGGAAACAAAAACAUGACUUCUCACAGUAGAUCCUUAAUUGGUGAUCGAAAAUUGGUUUAAAAGUGUCCUAACUAAUCUUUUUUGAAGGGAAAGUCAGAAAUACAUUCAAACUCACAGUGUGUACCUCUGAGAGACAGUGGCUCAUUCAAGUAUCACUUAUCCAUUUGGGUCUUCAUUCAUUCACUCAUUCCCCAAAUCCUAACUGAGUACGUACUAUAAAACAGACACUUGCCAGGUAUUGGGGGAUGGAGGGUCUGAGUAGGGGUAAAGAUUAAUUAGGUAAUAAAAUCCAGAUUUCUUUUAAAAACAAUCAGAAAAUCUCACAAGGCUGGACCCACAUUCUCACACAAUAAUGAUUGCUGGCGCUGAGUCACUGGGGACCUACUAGGUGAAGCAGGAAUCCCUGAGUGCCUACAGCUCCCAUCCCCAAAGCUACAUCAUUACAGCAUUCCUUCAUGUUACCUACCUGUCAUUACCUAUGGACGUCUGAAUUCAUGAAUCUGAGCUCACGAAUUCUCAUUGAGAGAACCUUUCCAAUGAAAUACCCAUCGGAUGCCCUUUGCUGAGAGCCCGGAGUAGAACCAGUGCUAAAUUUCUAAGAGAGAGACAAAUACCUAAAUAACUCUAUUGCAAAAUAAAAGGUAUUAUCAGAAAGGGAAGGAUGAAAUGCUUUGAACAUUUAGGGGACAGGGAAAUUGUUUCUGGAGACUGGUACACAUCAGAAAUGGCUUCCUGGCAGAUGUAGCACCGAAUCUGGGACUUGAAUGAUUACAUUUUUUCCAUCAAUUCAACAAAUAUUUGCUAGAAGCCAGCUAGCCAGAAUGCUUUAUAGAAGAUGCACUCAGAAUUGGCUAGUUAUGAGGGAGCUGUUUGUCAACUGCUAAUUUUCUGUGGUUUGCUCUUCUUCCCUUUCCUUUUACAUUCACAAAUUGGGAAAGUUAAACUUGUAGAUCACUUUGGGGAUUGUCAAAGGGUGGCUUCUGGUAGAUACUGGUUUCUCCAAGCCAGGCAAACCUGCAUUCACUCAGCAUAUAUUUUCAAGUCUGGACUAUGUACCGUCCACUAUGACAGGAGUCAGAAAUACAGUGAUGAGUGCUGGCCCUGUCCCAUGUAAUUUACAGCCUUUUUGGAGAGAGAGGCAGUUUCAGUGACCUCACAAAUACAUGCAGGAGUGUAACUGUGAUGAGUACUGCAAAGGGAAGAGGGCCCUUGUUGCUAAAGGACUUAUAAGAGGAGUUGGCCAUGUCAGAAGGAUCAGGGAAGGCCUUACUGAGGCAUGAGGCUUCCUGGUGUGAAUAGCAGUUAACAGGUGGAGGGAGACCAGGUUCCAGGUGGAGGAAAUAACAUGUGUGUGGGCUCCUUUCCAGAAGAGCUGGAGAGAAGAGAGAUGAAAGGAAGGUGAUGCAGGAUGAAGCUGGAGGAGUAAGAAGGGGUUUGAUGAUAUAGCAGGCCCAGUCAAAGAAUCUUGUCUUUAUCCUAAGAGUCAAGAGAAGUUGCUGAGAAUUUUUAAGCAGGAAAGGGUGAUGAUCAUAUUUAUAUUUUGGAAAGAUCCUCCAACCUGCUCUCUGUGUUAAAACAGUUGAGUUCAUAUAUCUUCUGGCUGCAAUAAUGGGAAUGAACACAAGGCAGGACAGAGUACAUGGGGGGAGGCCGGUUAGCAAGCUAGUGUUGAGUUCAGAAGGAAGAUGAUGUUCUUUUGACUAGGAUGCUGGUGAUGGAGGGCAAUGAAAAAAUCUGAGAGAUAAAUAGGAGCUAAAUCAACAAUAUAAUGGGCUGAACAUGGAGGAGAAAAAAAGAAAAGAGUCAAACAUAUCUUCUAGGUUCCUCUCUGCCAUGCAUAAUUGGAUGGAUGGAAUACCAUUCACUAAAAUGAAUCACCACUUGGCUUUGUUCUAAGACUGCUGUGUACAGUUGUGUGAGUUGUGUACUACACCAGGGCAUCUGGCUAAUUAACAAAGGCAGAAGCUGAAAGUCAGCCCAUUCUCUGCUUGCCAAGACACAUAUCCCCAUGUAGGGUCAUGUCUACCCAGGUGGGAGGGGCAGCUUCUUAUAAUUUGCAAAAAAUAGCUAUCCAUUUGGCUAGAUAAAAAGUUAUACCUUUUAACCAGCAUUGCAGGCAUCCAAGAAGGCCCACAUAGGGUACUACGAGUGGGAGGGAGCACUAAAGGUGGUAAAGCCAGGGCCAGGAUACCUGGAUGGUAGAGACAAGGGCUGAAGAAGGUGAUGAGAAAAUGAGAGAGUGCAAAAAAUAUCAAGCUCAGUUUAUUUAUCCUGCAGUGGCUAUCUCUGGCAUUUCCUGGACUCCUGACCCACAGGGAGGGAUCCUGCCUGUGGCUCACCCUUCCUGUUAUUUUAAUUCUUUUGUUGGAUGCCUUUAAUGAAUGUAGACAUGGACACUCAUACAUCAGAGAGCAGAAGUACUUUAAGAACCAUCUAGCCCUACUCUUUCAUUACACGGAUGAGAACGCUGAGGUCCAGGGAAAUGGAAAGCUUUGCUCUGUCUCCUGCUGGGACAAGAUCCUUAAUCGCCUGAUUCCUCACAUCAUGCUGAUCUUUCCUCUAACAAGAAAUUGACUGAGCUUUCACAGACAACGAGGCAACACCUGAAAGAGCAAAGAUACCAAGUCAGAUUCAUCUGAGUUUGGAUCUCUGCUUGCCAUUCUUUGUUGUGUGAUUUUUGACAAGUUACUUAAUCUCUCCAAGCUUCACUUUCCCCACCUGUAAAAUGAAGAUUAAAAACACCUUGAAGGUGGGCUGUGAGGAUUAACGUAAAGCCUUUGGGAUAGGGUCUGAUAUUCACGAGCCACCAUCUAGACCACAUUCUCUACUUAUGUUGACUUCUCCAGCCCCUGUCUCUUCCCUACCCUUUCUCUAUUCUCAAAGGGUUUGCAGGGAUUCUGCAGAAAAUUUAUUCUUUGGAAAUUCUUUGUGGAACUCAACACAAAUUCAGCAUAUCAAAUAAACGAAAUAUUAAGAAAUGACUCUACCUUUUCCCCUAACCUUUCACUUAGGGUUCUGAUCCCUAAGAUGCAAAUGGCAAUUAACCCUGCACCCCACACUAGCCCUCUACCUCUCCCUAUGAUGACUCUGCACAGAUCUCAGGAAGCUUUAUGUGAAAAUAACACCUUGGAACUAGAAGCAGAAGGAACUAGAGAGGUUUCUGCUGGAAGCAUAAUAUAAAAGCCAGUUUUGAAGAAGGCGGGGGGUGGUGGGGGCUCAGAAAAAUGAGCGAUUACCAGAAGGAACUUUUUUUCUCCCAACAUGAUUUUUGAUGGCUCAUAGUUACUUUCAUUUGUUCCGUGACUUUGAGAGGCUGACAAAUAGCAGCCUCAUUCUGAAUGCCUAUUGUUACUCCUGAGGUUUUAUGUAGAGUAGAAAAGAUUGUUUUGAACGUUUCUCAUGGACAAGUGGAAGCUGUACUCUUGCUACAAAUGAUUCAUGUGGGAGAAAUGAUAUAUAAACAAGAUUGCCUGCUUGGAGAGUGGAUGAGAGGGUGAGUUAUUUCAGAAGGGCUCUUCACUUUCAUGCCAGCAAAUGAUAAAAGCUAGCUCUCAGAAUGGCAGGGGUGCUAUGGAAUGGAGGCUUCAGAAACUUUUUGACUCUUACAUUUUAUAGUCAAUGUCAAAAAAAUGUAUUAUAAAUUUCUGACUAAGUCCAGUUACUUUUUCAUGGUGAUGUAGCAAUAGGUUGAUUCAACCUUGGGCCUUGUCCUGUCAGUGUGUUGAGGCUGAAAGAGCCUGGGUUCUGGAAGCUGAGCCUCUGGGGUAAGGUAGGUGCCUAAGGGGCAAAAUUUCAGGAGGCACCUACUCUCAGGGUCAUACAGGCACAGAGUCAGCACUUGCACAAUCCUGUAAGUGAGUGCCUCCUUAAAUUUUGCCCUCUGGGUCACCCUCUUUUCUCACCCAAAUCCGGGCCCUGGAAUUGAAUUAGAAUCAAGACUCCAUCACUUAUUGGUGGUGCAACUUUAGGGAAUCAGUUAGGAUUAGUCUUGGCUAUAACAGAAAAAAGCCAAGUGAGAGUGGCUUAUUUCUCUAUUACAUAAAAAUCUAGAGCAAUACAGGACAGGGCUGGCAUAAUGUCCCCAUUGCAUAAAGUCAUCAGAUCCUAGUUCCUUCCAGUGCACUUUUCUGCCAUUCCAAGGGUUUUGCCUUCAUGAUUCAAAAUGACACAUCCACAUUCUAGGCAGCAGGAUGGAGGAAGGUGACUAAACCAUGUGACUAUAUUACUGAUUUUUAAAAUAUAACAAAAUUAUAAUUAUAAACAUGUAGAAUAGAUUGUAAAAGCCCAAACAAUACAAAAAUAAAAUAUAUUUUUGGAUUGUUAAAUCACCUAUAAUUGUUAUUUCUAUCAGCCCCACUCCAAAUUCCCAGCCUAAGCAUCUAGUUUAUUGCAACUAUUAAGGACUGAGCCAGUCUUGAUUCCCACAAUUGAAAAUGUUUUCAGAAGGAAUUAUUCUUAUGGAAGCUCAUAAAAUGUUCUUAAACCCAUAGGUUUGAAAAUAAGAAAAUUAUCUAGAGUGGAGUGGUAGACAGCUGAGUUAUCUGCCUGCCCAGCACUCACUUCCCAUUCUGGCAGGCAUACUUCAAUUUUGGUUUGGGGAACAAACUACCAGGUUCCUUUGCUUACAGACUUGGUAGAAAUUGUCAUUUGGGCUACAGAUGGGAAGACGUAGAAAUGUAACUCAAACUAGGACCAUAAUAUCCCUCUCUCUUCGAAUAAUUUGUCUCUUGGAUAUGGUUAAAAAGCAUAGACAUAUGACUGGGGAUCAUUUUCUCUAACAGAGACAUGGAACUCAAACAAAUUCCCUGAGCUGCUUUGGAUCCUGUUCUUUCUGAGGCCUGAUACUUCAGCGUCUUCAAAUCUAAUUUGCAAUGCCCCAUAUCCUUCCAGUACACCUCUUCUAUUUAAGUUACCUAGAGUCCAUUUAUGUUGCUUGCAAUCAAGAACCCUAACUGACAAAAGAAGCUAUUCACUUUUCUACCCAAAUAUUUGAAAUUAUACAGGUUGGUCUCUCCUACCUUGUUAAUUAUACCUGUUUUCUUCUCCAGCUUUUCCCAGGUGAGGCCAUUAAUGCCUCCACCCAUAGGCUUAACCCUGCCCUGUUUCUGAGCCAACUCUAAAGUGAGGAAUAGGACUAAAGAGGUGGUGGGUGAGUUGCAUGCAGGAUACCAAAGGAUAAAUCCUGGGGGCUUCCAGAAGUUCCAGAGGAAUUACCUAGAAGGCAUCAUUCCAAGGAGGAAAGAGGCCAAAGCAUCACAUAGACUUCAUAAAACAAGGGACCUUGCCUAUCUUAUUCCCCACUGUAUCCCCAGUACAAAAAAUUAUGUCUGGCUCAUGUAACAUUGGAAGCCAUAUGAUGAGAUAGUAGUGUCACGAGAUAGAAGAAAAUGGGAUCUCUAAGUCACUGGAUGUAGGAGGAUUCCCACUGACUUGACUUUGGUGAGUUCCCUGAGCCAAGCACUCCGCAGCUCCAUCGCAGCGUGGGCCUCUUGGAAAUUCGGUGCUAGUUCUCAAGGCCUCCUACCUGCUGAACCUUAGUCUUCAUUGCUGAAAUAAGAGCUGUCCUGCAAACAGAGUUUGGCGCUCGCUUUCUGGCCUCCGGCUGGUGGAGCAAGGACGUUUCCAGCACAUAAGAUUCCCCACUCUGUUAAAAAAAAAUGUGUUUAUACUUGGUCCCCUCUGAAGGCGGACGACACCCAUACUUUUGUCCCAGCCCAAUUUGCUGGCUGGGAUUUUUCUCAUCCUUUAAAUCCCGGGAAGCAAGGAACCUGCCCUCUGGCGCCAUCUACCGGCACUGUUUUUCGAGUCCAAGGAGCCCCCUGCGGAGUUGGGAUGUGUUUAGUAAUUGAUUGGAUGAAUCCUGCCACUUCGUUAGUAGAUUCUUAUUUUCUUCACGGACUCUUUACUAAUUAGUAAAGAGAUUAUAUAGCAAAUAUAUUAUCUUACUUUAAAGAGACCAGAGUCUCCUAUCUCUCGCUUCCCCCACCCCAUCAGUUGUGGCAUUCCUUCAUCUUUAAUUUCUUCCUUCGAAAAAUAUUUAUUUUGUUAUUGUAUAGAGAUCAGGGCAUGGGCCACACAGCUGCACACCUGAGCAAACAGAGGGGCUGACUGAUUUGCUGUUGUAAUGAAAAACAUUAGUUUUGGGUUCAUUACUGUGAUUCCACAAUGGGCACCAAAUCCCACUUAAGACCCACCGAAGAAGUCUUCAAAGGGACACGGUUUCAGGUCUGUGCCUGGUGAGCGUGCUGCCUCUUCGAAUCUUUGCACAGAAAUAACCUACGGUUGAAGACUCAGACCUGUCAGAUCAAAACCAACCCUGGCCUCCAGACCUUGAAACAAGUCAAAACAGUGAACCUUACUCAUCCGUUUUCAAAAUAUGGCCUGUUUUCUUUACAAAAUGCAGCAAAGCCUCUCAGAUGGGCGCUGGCUGCAAUAUUUGAUAUAUUAGGGAGAAUCCUGACUCCUUCCAGGUUUCUGCCCAUCUGUUUUAAAUCCAAAUGGCUUGGCAGAGGAUGGUUUUUAGUUAUGUAUUUUUUUCAUUUCAAAUGGAAUUUAAAACAGCAGGGGCAGAAAGCCCAGAUAUGGAUGAGAGAGAAAAUAAAAAGGCCCCUGUAAUUCCCCAUUCGCCUUCUACAUGAAGGAAAAAAUAUCGGCAUUUGUUGUAAACCUACUAUGUGUCAAGGUAUCACUAGGGAGUGUGAUGUUGCUGAGCCAUUGGAAUUUUAUAAAAUUUUAAAUGUUUUUCAUUUUCUUCUUCAGAGGUGGUUUGAUUUCAUGAUCAAGAGCUUGAACUUAAAGUCAAAUCCUUCUCCUGCCUCCUGCAGUCAUGGGGCCUUAGCUAUUCUCUGUAAUGACUCUAGGUCUCAGUUUCCUUGCCUGAGAACAGGCCUGUGAUAAUUACCUUGAUGGGCUAUUGUCAGUUUUAAAUAAGGUAGUGCAGAGGCAACUACCACAGGAAUGGUUCUGCCUUAAGAAUGAACUACGUGUGCAUGUGUCUUUAUAGCAGCAUGAUUUAUAGUCCUUUGGGUAUAUACCCAGUAAUGGGAUGGCUGGGUCAAAUGGUAUUUCUGGUUCUAGAUCCCUGAGGAAUCGCCACACUGACUUCCACAAUGGUUCAACUAGUUUACAGUCCCA